Long non-coding RNA from Portunus trituberculatus (swimming crab), 1144 nucleotides. RefSeq lists it as uncharacterized. The transcript has 4 exons. NCBI's taxonomy places the organism in Eukaryota, Metazoa, Arthropoda, Malacostraca, Decapoda, Portunidae. The record is from RefSeq and is a predicted model, not a curated record.
AUACCUUUCAAAUAUCUCGAUUUCUCUUUCCUUUUCCCGCGCUAUAUCAAAACACUCCCUGUAAACGUAGAAGCUGUUUCAUGUAUACUGCCUUUCUAUAACCACAGCAGGGCAAUACAACGAAAAGAAAAGAUGAAAAAUAAAGAAUAAAUCAAUAUGUGCAAUUUAUAGAAGUAGUGUCUCAUUAAUAAUAGAUUUAGUAAGUUAUUAUACACAUUUAUACUAAGGAUCAUCACAAACACACCCGCCCCUACACGUCAACCGGGAGGACCAGUUGUGUUGUUGUUGUUGGUGGUGGUGGUGGUGUGUCCUAUCUUGCCAUACACCCAUACACACCCACACACACCCAUACACAGCCAUACAUACUUAAAAACACACUUAUAUACCUCAAACACUCGCAAACACAGCCAUACAUACACUCAUAUACCUCAAACACAGCCAUACAUACACUUAUAUACCUCAAACACUCGUAAACACAGCCAAACACACCACAUACCCAUUUAGUGUUAGUCCUCAGUCUUGCCACACACACACACAGACAAACAUGCCCCCAAACACUCGUAAACACACUCAAACACCAAAUAACACACACAGACAUAAGUGUGCAGUGUUUAGGAGCACCAAGCAGUGAGUGAGACAGCAGUACACGGUGUCAGCGUACACCACAACCCUCCACAGCGCCCUCCGUUCAUGUGUGAGGUACGUUUGAGGCCGUUCACUUAUUUCUUGGGUUAGGUUUACAAGCUCAGGCGUGUAGAUGGAAGCAACAGAAAGACUAAAAAAGGGAAACAGAGGAGGAGGAAUGAGAAAGGGAAGCGGAAGAAGAGGAGGAGUCAAGCCACAACAUUUAGGGGUCAUGUUGCUUGUGUGGCCAGUGUGAAUGUGACCGGGGGCUUGGCAGGGAUGACUGGGGGCUUGGGAAGGGUGGCAGGGGGGGCGAGGUACAGCCAAUACCCCCCGGCAUACAUGCCCUCAAAACUGCAGGAGAUGGAGGACAGCGGGGAGAUGAAGAAAUUUGAGUAGCGGGCGGUCCGAGCGGCCCACAGCACCCACACCACCUCCGUACUCCACCACCCGCUUGUCAGGUUGUUUCAAGAUAUAGAGGGAGAGAGAACAGCCAAGGAGGAGGAAGAAGAGGAACAGG